GAUGAACGCUGGCGGCGUGCCUAAUACAUGCAAGUCGAGCGAACAGAUGAGGAGCUUGCUCCUCUGACGUUAGCGGCGGACGGGUGAGUAACACGUGGAUAACCUACCUAUAAGACUGGGAUAACUUCGGGAAACCGGAGCUAAUACCGGAUAAUAUCUUGAAACGCAUGGAUCAAUCGUGAAAGCCGGUUUUGCUGUCACUUAUAGAUGGAUCCGCGCCGCAUUAGCAAGUUGGUAAGGUAAAGGCUUACCAAGGCAACGAUAGGUAGCCGACCUGAGAGGGCUAUCUGCCACACUACAAUAGCGACACGGCCCAGACUCCUCUGGGAGGCAGCAGUAUGGAAUCUUACGCAAGGGACGAAAGCCUGACAGAGCAACGCCGCGUGAGUGAUGAAGGGCUUCGGAUCGUAAAACUCUGUUAUUAGUGAAGAACAAAUGUGUAAGUAACUAUGCACGUCUUGACGGUACCUAAUCAGAAAGCCACGGCUAACUACGUG
RNAcentral lists this ribosomal RNA (497 nucleotides) under uncultured bacterium. RNAcentral describes it as "partial 16S ribosomal RNA". It matches the Rfam family "Bacterial small subunit ribosomal RNA", at positions 28 to 507 of the family's 1533-position model. The record is from RNAcentral.